UCCUACGGGAGGCAGCAGCAAGGAAUUUUGGGCAAUGAGCGAAAGCUUGACCCAGCGACACCGCGUGAGGGAAUAAGGCCUUCGGGUUGUAAACCUCUUUUCCUGGGGAAGAAUUCUGACGGUACCCAGGGAAUAAGCCUCGGCCAACUACGUGCCAGCAGCCGCGGUAAUACGUAGGAGGCGAACGUUAUUCGGAUUUACUGGGCGUAAAGGGAGCGUAGGCGGUUCCUUAAGUCGGAUGUGAAAUCUUCUGACUCAAUCGGAAGGAGCCAUUUGAUACUGAGGGACUUGAGAGCAGCAGAGGGAAAUGGAAUCUCCAGUGUAGCGGUGAAAUGCGUAGAUAUUGGAGAGAACACCAGUGGCGAAAGCGAUUUCCCAGGCUGCUUCUGACGCUGAGGUUCGAAAGCGUGGGGAGCGAAGCGGAUUAGAUACCCGCGUAGUCCACGCCCUAAACGGUGGACACUAGAUAUAGGAGGUAUCGACCCUUUCUGUGUCGAAGCUAACGCUUUAAGUGUCCCGCCUGGGGAGUACGGCCGCAAGGCUGAAACUCAAAUGAAUUGACGG
RNAcentral lists this ribosomal RNA (564 nucleotides) under uncultured bacterium. RNAcentral describes it as "bacterial SSU rRNA". It matches the Rfam family "Bacterial small subunit ribosomal RNA", at positions 337 to 916 of the family's 1533-position model. The record is from RNAcentral.